RNAcentral lists this ribosomal RNA (254 nucleotides) under uncultured bacterium. Its description in RNAcentral is "partial 16S ribosomal RNA". It matches the Rfam family "Bacterial small subunit ribosomal RNA", at positions 524 to 776 of the family's 1533-position model. The record is from RNAcentral.
UACGUAGGGUGCAAGCGUUGUCCGGAAUUAUUGGGCGUAAAGAGCUCGUAGGCGGUUUGUCGCGUCUGCUGUGAAAACUGGGGGCUCAACCCCCAGCCUGCAGUGGGUACGGGCAGACUAGAGUGCGGUAGGGGAGAUUGGAAUUCCUGGUGUAGCGGUGGAAUGCGCAGAUAUCAGGAGGAACACCGAUGGCGAAGGCAGAUCUCUGGGCCGUAACUGACGCUGAGGAGCGAAAGCAUGGGGGAGCGAACGGG